UGUGGGGACAGAGAGCUUAUGCUUUCUUGGGAUAGAAAUCUAUUUCAGCUCAAGCUGAAGGCCACGGUCUUGACCAGCCAGAAGGGCAUGAUCUGAGAAGAUGGAGAGCUGAGGGGCCAUGCCCAGGAAGGGGAAUCAUGGUCAGUGAGGCAAAGAGCUUCCUGAAGGAACUUCGGACGGGUGGAGCUCACUGCCCCUGCUCUUCAGUCCUGCCAGUUCAGCCCACCGUCUUAGAAAUCAUAAAGAUACAAGGCGAGGAAGGAAGUGAGGAAGUAUCCUCUCUACUCCCGUGGGGUUGAUGCCAACCUGCUCCUGCUUCCUGACCUGCUUGAGUUCCAGUCCUGACUUCU
Molecule: long non-coding RNA, 350 nt
Organism: Mastomys coucha (southern multimammate mouse)
Lineage: Eukaryota; Metazoa; Chordata; Mammalia; Rodentia; Muridae
Exons: 3
Source: RefSeq, a predicted model, not a curated record